AACUUUUGGCAACGGAUCUCUUGGUUCUGGCAUCGAUGAAGAACGCAGCGUAAUGCGGUAAGUAGUGUGAAUUGCAGAAUACAGUGAAUCAUCGAAUCUUUGAACGCACAUUGCGCCCUUUGGUAUUCCUUAGGGCAUGCCUGUUCGAGCGUCAUUUAAACCUUCAAGCUCAGCUUGGUGUUGGGUGACUGUCCGCCGCCCUCGGGCGCGUAGACUCGCCUCAAAAUUAUUGGCAGCCGGUACAUUGGCUUCGAGCGCAGCAGAAACGCGAACUCGAGCCCGUUGUAUUGGCUCCCAGAAGCUAUCUUCACAAUUUUGACCUCGGAUCAGGUAGGGAUACCCGCUGAACUUAAGCAUAUCAAUAAGCGGAGGCU
RNAcentral lists this unclassified non-coding RNA (374 nucleotides) under uncultured Monodictys. Its description in RNAcentral is "sequence contains ITS2". The stretch from base 1 to 154 matches the Rfam family "5.8S ribosomal RNA". Lineage: Eukaryota; Fungi; Ascomycota; Sordariomycetes; Microascales; Halosphaeriaceae. The record is from RNAcentral.